GUCGAGCGAUCUCUUCGGAGAGAGCGGCGGACGGGUGAGUAACGCGUGGGUAACCUGCCCUGUACACACGGAUAACAUACCGAAAGGUAUACUAAUACGGGAUAACAUACGAAAGUCGCAUGGCUUUUGUAUCAAAGCUCCGGCGGUACAGGAUGGACCCGCGUCUGAUUAGCUAGUUGGUAAGGUAAUGGCUUACCAAGGCAACGAUCAGUAGCCGACCUGAGAGGGUGAUCGGCCACACUGGAACUGAGACACGGUCCAGACUCCUACGGGAGGCAGCAGUGGGGAAUAUUGCACAAUGGGCGAAAGCCUGAUGCAGCAACGCCGCGUGAGCGAUGAAGGCCUUCGGGUCGUAAAGCUCUGUCCUCAAGGAAGAUAAUGACGGUACUUGAGGAGGAAGCCCCGGCUAACUACGUGCCAGCAGCCGCGGUAAUACGUAGGGGGCUAGCGUUAUCCGGAAUUACUGGGCGUAAAGGGUGCGUAGGUGGUUUUUUAAGUCAGAAGUGAAAGGCUACGGCUCAACCGUAGUAAGCUUUUGAAACUAGAGAACUUGAGUGCAGGAGAGGAGAGUAGAAUUCCUAGUGUAGCGGUGAAAUGCGUAGAUAUUAGGAGGAAUACCAGUAGCGAAGGCGGCUCUCUGGACUGU
RNAcentral lists this ribosomal RNA (646 nucleotides) under Paraclostridium bifermentans. RNAcentral describes it as "bacterial SSU rRNA". It matches the Rfam family "Bacterial small subunit ribosomal RNA", at positions 61 to 737 of the family's 1533-position model. The record is from RNAcentral. Lineage: Bacteria; Bacillati; Bacillota; Clostridia; Peptostreptococcales; Peptostreptococcaceae.